UUAGGAGUGAACGCUGGCGGCGUGCCUAACACAUGCAAGUCGAGCGAUUCUCUUCGGAGAAGAGCGGCGGACGGGUGAGUAACGCGUGGGUAACCUGCCUCAUACACAUGGAUAACAUACCGAAAGGUAUGCUAAUACAGGAUAACAUAAGAGAUUCACAUGGAUUUCUUAUCAAAGCUCCGGCGGUAUGAGAUGGACCCGCGUCUGAUUAGCUAGUUGGUAAGGUAACGGCUUACCAAGGCGACGAUCAGUAGCCGACCUGAGAGGGUGAUCGGCCACAUUGGAACUGAGACACGGUCCAAACUCCUACGGGAGGCAGCAGUGGGGAAUAUUGCACAAUGGGCGAAAGCCUGAUGCAAGCAACGCCGCGUGAGUGAUGAAGGCCUUCGGGUCGUAAAACUCUGUCCUCAAGGAAGAUAAUGACGGUACUUGAGGAGGAAGCCCCGGCUAACUACGUGCCAGCAGCUGC
This 469-nucleotide ribosomal RNA is filed under the name uncultured bacterium. RNAcentral describes it as "bacterial SSU rRNA". It matches the Rfam family "Bacterial small subunit ribosomal RNA", at positions 27 to 518 of the family's 1533-position model. The record is from RNAcentral.